GAUGAAGAACGCAGCGAAAUGCGAUAAGUAAUGUGAAUUGCAGAAUUCAGUGAAUCAUCGAAUCUUUGAACGCACAUUGCGCCCGGCAGUAAUCUGCCGGGCAUGCCUGUCCGAGCGUCAUUUCAGCCCUCGAGCCACUAUUUCUUGGUGGACCGGUGUUGGGGCACUGCGGUAAAGCGCAGGCCCCGAAAUGCAGUGGCGGUCCCGCCCGCGGCGCCCGAUGCGUAGUAACGUACAGUCUCGCAUCGGCCCCCGGCGGAGGCCAGCCGUCAAGCCUAUUCUCUCAGAUGGUUUGACCUCGGAUCAGGUAGGGUUACCCGCUGAACUUAAGCAUAUCAAUAAGCGGAGGA
This 350-nucleotide unclassified non-coding RNA is filed under the name soil metagenome. RNAcentral's name for it is "partial contains 5.8S ribosomal RNA, internal transcribed spacer 2, and large subunit ribosomal RNA". The stretch from base 1 to 120 matches the Rfam family "5.8S ribosomal RNA", at positions 35 to 154 of the family's 154-position model. The record is from RNAcentral.